AGAUUGAACGCUAGCGGGAUGCUUUACACAUGCAAGUCGAACGGCAGCGCGGACUUCGGUCUGGCGGCGAGUGGCGAACGGGUGAGUAAUAUAUCGGAACGUGCCCAGUAGCGGGGGAUAACUACGCGAAAGCGUGGCUAAUACCGCAUACGCCCUACGGGGGAAAGGGGGGAUCGCAAGACCUCUCACUAUUGGAGCGGCCGAUAUCGGAUUAGCUAGUUGGUGGGGUAAAGGCUCACCAAGGCUUCGAUCCGUAGCUGGUUUGAGAGGACGACCAGCCACACUGGGACUGAGACACGGCCCAGACUCCUACGGGAGGCAGCAGUGGGGAAUAUUGGACAAUGGGCNCAAGCCUGAAUCCAGCCAUACCGCGUGGGUGAAGAAAGGCCU
Molecule: ribosomal RNA, 390 nt
Filed under: uncultured soil bacterium
Lineage: Bacteria
Description: bacterial SSU rRNA
Rfam family: Bacterial small subunit ribosomal RNA
Source: RNAcentral